RNAcentral lists this ribosomal RNA (484 nucleotides) under uncultured bacterium. Its description in RNAcentral is "partial 16S ribosomal RNA". It matches the Rfam family "Bacterial small subunit ribosomal RNA", at positions 30 to 507 of the family's 1533-position model. The record is from RNAcentral.
AUUGAACGCUGGCGGCAGGCCUAACACAUGCAAGUCGAGCGGAUGAAGGGAGCUUGCUCCUGGAUUCAGCGGCGGACGGGUGAGUAAUGCCUAGGAAUCUGCCUGGUAGUGGGGGAUAACGUCCGGAAACGGGCGCUAAUACCGCAUACGUCCUGAGGGAGAAAGUGGGGGAUCUUCGGACCUCACGCUAUCAGAUGAGCCUAGGUCGGAUUAGCUAGUUGGUGGGGUAAAGGCCUACCAAGGCGACGAUCCGUAACUGGUCUGAGAGGAUGAUCAGUCACACUGGAACUGAGACACGGUCCAGACUCCUACGGGAGGCAGCAGUGGGGAAUAUUGGACAAUGGACGAAAGCCUGAUCCAGCCAUGCCGCGUGUGUUAAGAAGGUCUUCGGAUUGUAAAGCACUUUAAGUUGGGAGGAAGGGCAGUAAGUUAAUACCUUGCUGUUUUGACGUUACCAACAGAAUAAGCACCGGCUAACUUCGUG